GGGCUCACUUUGGCAGCACAUACACUAAAAUUGGGGUGAUACAGAGAAGAUUAGCAUGGACCCUGCACGAGGAUGGAUGACUCACUAAUUCAUAAAGCAUUCCCUAUUUUG
Small nuclear RNA from Phyllostomus discolor (pale spear-nosed bat), 111 nucleotides. The record is from RefSeq and is a predicted model, not a curated record. Lineage: Eukaryota; Metazoa; Chordata; Mammalia; Chiroptera; Phyllostomidae.